Molecule: ribosomal RNA, 449 nt
Filed under: uncultured bacterium
Lineage: Bacteria
Description: partial 16S ribosomal RNA
Rfam family: Bacterial small subunit ribosomal RNA
Source: RNAcentral
GACGAACGCUGGCGGCAGGCCUAAAACAUGCAAGUCGAACGCCCUAGCAAUAGGGAGUGGCAGACGGGUGAGUAACACGUGGGAACGUGCCUUUUGGUUCGGAACAACACAGGGAAACUUGUGCUAAUACCGGAUAAGCCCUUACGGGGAAAGAUUUAUCGCCAAAAGAUCGGCCCGCGUCUGAUUAGCUAGUUGGUGGGGUAACGGCCCACCAAGGCUACGAUCAGUAGCUGGUCUGAGAGGAUGAUCAGCCACACUGGGACUGAGACACGGCCCAGACUCCUACGGGAGGCAGCAGUUAGGAAUCUUGGACAAUGGGCGCAAGCCUGAUCCAGCCAUGCCGCGUGAGUGAUGAAGGCCUUAGGGUUGUAAAGCUCUUUCGGCGGGGAAGAUAAUGACGGUACCCGCAGAAGAAGCCCCGGCUAACUUCGUGCCAGCCGCCGCCGUAA